GACGAACGCUGGCGGCGUGCCUAAUACAUGCAAGUAGAACGCUGAAGAGAGGAGCUUGCUCUUCUUGGAUGAGUUGCGAACGGGUGAGUAACGCGUAGGUAACCUGCCUUGUAGCGGGGGAUAACUAUUGGAAACGAUAGCUAAUACCGCAUAACAAUGGAUGACACAUGUCAUUUAUUUGAAAGGGGCAAUUGCUCCACUACAAGAUGGACCUGCGUUGUAUUAGCUAGUAGGUGAGGUAAUGGCUCACCUAGGCGACGAUACAUAGCCGACCUGAGAGGGUGAUCGGCCACACUGGGACUGAGACACGGCCCAGACUCCUACGGGAGGCAGCAGUAGGGAAGCUUCGGCAAUGGGGGCAACCCUGACCGAGCAACGCCGCGUGAGUGAAGAAGGUUUUCGGAUCGUAAAGCUCUGUUGUAAGUCAAGAACGGGUGUGAGAGUGGAAAGUUCACACUGUGACGGUAGCUUACCAGAAAGGGACGGUUAACUACGUG
This 497-nucleotide ribosomal RNA is filed under the name uncultured bacterium. RNAcentral's name for it is "partial 16S ribosomal RNA". It matches the Rfam family "Bacterial small subunit ribosomal RNA", at positions 28 to 507 of the family's 1533-position model. The record is from RNAcentral.